GACGAACGCUGGCGGCGUGCUUAACACAUGCAAGUCGAGCGGUAAGGCCCUUUCGGGGGUACACGAGCGGCGAACGGGUGAGUAACACGUGGGUAACCUGCCCUCAGCUCUGGGAUAAGCCUGGGAAACCGGGUCUAAUACUGGAUAUGACUCCACGACGCAUGUUGUGGGGUGGAAAGCCUUGUGCGGCUGAGGAUGGGCCCGCGGCCUAUCAGCUUGUUGGUGGGGUGAUGGCCACCAAGGCGACGACGGGUAGCCGGCCUGAGAGGGCGACCGGCCACACUGGGACUGAGACACGGCCCAGACUCCUACGGGAGGCAGCAGUGGGGAAUCUUGCGCAAUGGGCGAAAGCCUGACGCAGCGACGCCGCGUGAGGGAUGACGGCCU
This 387-nucleotide ribosomal RNA is filed under the name uncultured bacterium. Its description in RNAcentral is "bacterial SSU rRNA". It matches the Rfam family "Bacterial small subunit ribosomal RNA", at positions 28 to 417 of the family's 1533-position model. The record is from RNAcentral.